This 261-nucleotide unclassified non-coding RNA is filed under the name Bombus terrestris (buff-tailed bumblebee). RNAcentral describes it as "misc RNA ENSBTSG00005019710.1". Lineage: Eukaryota; Metazoa; Arthropoda; Insecta; Hymenoptera; Apidae. The record is from RNAcentral.
GGUUUACGCUGGAUUAAUAUCGAAUUCAGGGGCCAACUUCAACGUUAUUGAGCCUCCACGCAAGAAACUUCCGCUGGCUACAGCUGCAUCCCAAAAUCCACGGUUCACAGAUUCGGAAAGCAACCGAUAAAAUAAUCGUUGGAUAAUCUGCAGUGUAACGAUUUUCAUCGCACGAAUAAACUUCGAUGAUCACGGAUCGAGCAGUCAAUUACGUGCAUGUGCAAGCAUAACGUGGAUCGUCAGCUACCAAUUCCUACCUAC